RNAcentral lists this ribosomal RNA (440 nucleotides) under uncultured bacterium. RNAcentral's name for it is "partial 16S ribosomal RNA". It matches the Rfam family "Bacterial small subunit ribosomal RNA", at positions 338 to 795 of the family's 1533-position model. The record is from RNAcentral.
CCUACGGGUGGCUGCAGUGGGGAAUAUUGCACAAUGGGGGAAACCCUGAUGCAGCAACGCCGCGUGAGUGAUGACGGCCUUCGGGUUGUAAAGCUCUUUCUUCAGGGACGAUAAUUACGGUACCUGAGGAGUAAGCCACGGCCAACUCCGUUCCAGCCGCCGCGGUAAUACGUAGGUGGCGAGCGUUGUCCGGAUUUACUGGGCGUAAAGGGGGCGUAGGCGGACUUUUAAGUGAGAUGUGAAAUACUCGGGCUCAACUUGAGUGCUGCAUUUCAAACUGGAAGUCUAGAGUGCAGGAGAGGGGAAUGGAAUUCCUAGUGUAGCGGUGAAAUGCGUAGAGAUUAGGAAGAAAACCAGUGGCGAAGGCGAUUCUCUGGACUGUAACUGACGCUGAGGCGCGAAAGCGUGGGGAGCAAACAGGAUUAGAUACCCCUGUAGUC